GAAAGAUUCGAGCCUGCGGCAGGUUCGGGUCGAACGUAGUGAGACAACGGAGCCGUCUACGGCGACGAUCCGAAGGACGAACGAAGUGAGUCAUCCUGCACGACCCACCA
RNAcentral lists this small RNA (110 nucleotides) under uncultured Pseudescherichia sp. Its description in RNAcentral is "RtT RNA". It matches the Rfam family "RtT RNA", at positions 17 to 130 of the family's 130-position model. Rfam says of the family: This family represents a bacterial cis-regulatory element known as RtT RNA. The exact function of RtT is unknown although it is thought that it may be involved in changing the cellular response in relation to amino acid starvation. Lineage: Bacteria; Pseudomonadati; Pseudomonadota; Gammaproteobacteria; Enterobacterales; Enterobacteriaceae. The record is from RNAcentral.